Molecule: ribosomal RNA, 419 nt
Filed under: uncultured ammonia-oxidizing beta proteobacterium
Lineage: Bacteria; Pseudomonadati; Pseudomonadota; Betaproteobacteria
Description: bacterial SSU rRNA
Rfam family: Bacterial small subunit ribosomal RNA
Source: RNAcentral
UGGAGGAAAGCAGGGGAUCGCAAGACCUUGCGCUUUUGGAGUGGCCGAUGCCUGAUUAGCUAGUUGGUGGGGUAAGAGCCUACCAAGGCGACGAUCAGUAGUUGGUCUGAAAGGACGACCAGCCACACUGGGACUGAGACACGGCCCAGACUCCUACGGGAGGCAGCAGUGGGGAAUUUUGGACAAUGGGGGAAAGCCUGAUCCAGCAAUGCCGCGUGAGUGAAGAAGGCCUUCGGGUUGUAAAGCUCUUUCAGUCGAGAAGAAAAGGUUGUGACUAAUAAUCACAACUCAUGACGGUAUCGACAGAAGAAGCACCGGCUAACUACGUGCCAGCAGCCGCGGUAAUACGUAGGGUGCGAGCGUUAAUCGGAAUUACUGGGCGUAAAGGGUGCGCAGGCGGCUUUGUAAGUCAGAUGUGA